GAUGAACGCUGGCGGCAUGCCUAAGACAUGCAAGUCGAACGAAGUGGCCCAAUGAAGAAUGCGAGCUUGCUCAAAUUUGGAUUUGGUUUACCACUUAGUGGCGCAAGGGUGAGUAACACGUGGGUAAUCUGCCUUCGAGUCUGGAAUAACAGUUAGAAAUGAUUGCUAAUGCCGGAUUAUAUAUGUAACGAUACGUCAUUAUAUAUUAAAAGGAGCCUUUAAAGCUUCGCUUGAAGAUGAGCCUGCGCCGUAUUAGUUAGUUGGUGGGGUAACGGCCUACCAAGACGACGAUGCGUAGCCGACCUGAGAGGGUGAUCGGCCACACUGGGACUGAGACACGGCCCAG
RNAcentral lists this ribosomal RNA (346 nucleotides) under uncultured bacterium. Its description in RNAcentral is "bacterial SSU rRNA". It matches the Rfam family "Bacterial small subunit ribosomal RNA", at positions 28 to 334 of the family's 1533-position model. The record is from RNAcentral.